Molecule: long non-coding RNA, 1019 nt
Filed under: Dasypus novemcinctus (nine-banded armadillo)
Lineage: Eukaryota; Metazoa; Chordata; Mammalia; Cingulata; Dasypodidae
Description: lncRNA (ENSDNOG00000050354.1)
Source: RNAcentral
AUGGAGGUGCGAGACCCUGACAGGUCCUUGCCGGUGCCCGCGGUCACCGCGCCCGGCUGGAGCCCCUGGGGGCGCCGCAGCCCCGGCCCAGGAGUCUCAGCACAGCGGGUGGCGGCCCAGGGCGCGCUUUGGGGGACUCCUUUUCUAGAAGCGCGCAGGCCCUGCAUCACAUGGGCUCUCUCCGGGGGACCCGGGGGGCAGUGGCAGCGGCUGCGUCUGGGGAGGGAAGCAGGUCCCCCGAGCGGCCUCCUCCCGGGGCGCCCUCGGAGCCGCGGGGUGGCCGGAGCCCGCGGGGGGUGCGCGGGCAGAGCGCGUCUCGGAGGGCCCCGCGGGCGGCUGCUCGCGCUUUCAGGAAAAAGUACCGCCCUUCUGCACGGCAUUGCGCACGCUUUUAAAAGCCUGGUCUCAUCGCCAGCCCUGUCUGAAGCCGAAGUGGGGCAAGAGUCAGCCUCGCGAGGGCGCAGAGGGAGUCUGUGGACACCCGGGUUCACGCUUCUCCCAAAGCCCGGGGCACGAGUGGGGUUCAGAACCAAGGACUUCCCAGAGUCUACAUCAGGCCCAGCAGGCUGGACGACCCUCCUGACCUGCCCUGGACGUCCUGAGAGCGCCUCGGUCCUGGGGAAGCCAGGCUGACUGGCCGCCCUGGGCUGGGCAGUGCCCCGUCGCGUGCUAGUCCCACUAGCAGGGUAAAUGAAACCCGCAAACGCCUUCAGCACCUUUCAGCUCCGUGAGUGUGCCACACACCGAAGAACACACUUGGUUUUCGGGGCUUUGGGAUUUUGGAAUUGUGGGUGAGGGAUCGAUCGUGGACCUAUAAGCAAAUAUGUAUAUAUUCUUCUAACAAAUCAGUUGUAUCGAUACAUAUUACUAAAGCAUGCAAUUCAUGGAAAGUGUACAAUCAACGGUAUUUUUAUCAUCACAUGGUUGUACAUUCAUCAUUUCAAUCAUUAUUAGGGCAUUUUCAUUACUUCAAUAAUAACAAAUGAAAAACAGACAAAUAAUAAAAUUCUUCACCUCUC